GCAUUGGUUGUCUUAAAUUUGUGUAAUUGUGGUUUAGAAAUCCCAGCGAGCAAGAGGCUUAGCUGCUUCCAAGUGCUGAGAUUGUCAAAUGUGGAUUUGAACGGGCUAGCCGGACACCUCCUUUCAAUAUGCCCUUCCCUUGAGACUUUAGACAUCAAGUCAUGCAGGAACAUAAAACAUCUUCAAAUUAGUUCCAACUUCAAGCUCAAGAAUGUUCUUGG
This 221-nucleotide long non-coding RNA is filed under the name Malus domestica (apple). RNAcentral describes it as "long non-coding RNA (MDOM_LNC008198)". The record is from RNAcentral. Lineage: Eukaryota; Viridiplantae; Streptophyta; Magnoliopsida; Rosales; Rosaceae.